CCUACGGGUGGCAGCAGUGGGGAAUAUUGCACAAUGGGGGAAACCCUGAUGCAGCAACGCCGCGUGAGUGAGGAAGUAUUUCGGUAUGUAAAACUCUAUUAGCAGGGGAGAGAAAAGAAGGUACCUGAAAAAGAAGCCCCGACUAGCUACGGGCAAGCAGCCGCGGUCAUCCGUAGGGGGCAAGCGUUAUCCGGAUUUACUGGGUGUAAAGGGAGGGUAGACGGAAAGGCAAGUCAGAAGGGAAAACCCAAGGCGCAACCAUCGGACUGCUUUUGAAACUGUUAAACUAGAGUACGGGAGAGGUAAGAGGAAUGCCUAGUGUAGCGGUGAAAUGCGUAGAUAUUAGGAGGAACACCGAUUGCGAAGGCAGCUUACUAAACUGCCACUGACAUUGAUGCACGAAAGUGUGGGUAUCGAACAGGAUUAGAUACCCGAGUAGUC
Molecule: ribosomal RNA, 441 nt
Filed under: uncultured bacterium
Lineage: Bacteria
Description: partial 16S ribosomal RNA
Rfam family: Bacterial small subunit ribosomal RNA
Source: RNAcentral